AACUCGACUCCAUGAAGUCGGAAUCGCUAGUAAUCGUAGAUCAGAAUGCUACGGUGAAUACGUUCCCGGGCCUUGUACACACCGCCCGUCACACCAUGGGAGUGGGUUGCAAAAGAAGUAGGUAGCUUAACCUUCGGGAGGGCGCUUACCACUUUGUGAUUCAUGACUGGGGUGAAGUCGUAACAAGGUAACCGUAGGGGAACCUGCGGUUGGAUCACCUCCUUA
Molecule: ribosomal RNA, 225 nt
Filed under: Enterobacter sichuanensis
Lineage: Bacteria; Pseudomonadati; Pseudomonadota; Gammaproteobacteria; Enterobacterales; Enterobacteriaceae
Description: partial 16S ribosomal RNA
Rfam family: Bacterial small subunit ribosomal RNA
Source: RNAcentral